This 334-nucleotide unclassified non-coding RNA is filed under the name plant metagenome. Its description in RNAcentral is "partial contains 5.8S ribosomal RNA, internal transcribed spacer 2, and large subunit ribosomal RNA". The stretch from base 1 to 105 matches the Rfam family "5.8S ribosomal RNA", at positions 50 to 154 of the family's 154-position model. The record is from RNAcentral.
GAAACGCGAUAGUUAAUGUGAAUUGCAGAAUUCAGUGAAUCAUCGAGUCUUUGAACGCACAUUGCGCCCAUUGGUAUUCCUUUGGGCAUGUCUGUUUGAGCGUCAUUUCUGCCCUCGAGCGCGGUUCGGCCCCUAGCGGGCCGGCCGCCGCCCGGUGUUGGGGCGCUGCGGGCCCUCGUGCCCGCAGGCCCUGAAAUGUAGUGGCGGUCCCGCCGCGGCGCCCCCUGCGUAGUAGUAAAGCACCUCGCAUCGGGUCCCGGCGGAGGCCAGCCGUCGAACCUCUCUUUUGAUGGUUUGACCUCGGAUCAGGUAGGGUUACCCGCUGAACUUAAGC